This 8209-nucleotide long non-coding RNA is filed under the name Sus scrofa (pig). RNAcentral's name for it is "lncRNA (ENSSSCG00005034526.1)". Lineage: Eukaryota; Metazoa; Chordata; Mammalia; Artiodactyla; Suidae. The record is from RNAcentral.
GAUAUGGCUCGUGGACAGCAGAAGAUUCAGUCUCAGCAGAAAAAUGCCAAAAAGCAAGCUGGACAAAAGAAGAAACAAGGACAUGACCAAAAGGCUGCUGCCAAAGCUGCCUUAAUAUAUACCUGCACUGUUUGUAGGACACAAAUGCCAGACCCUAAGACCUUCAAGCAGCACUUUGAGAGCAAGCAUCCUAAGACUCCACUUCCUCCAGAAUUAGCUGAUGUUCAGGCAUAAAAUUGUUUACAGGUGAAUUCAUGACACCUUUGACUCUUCUACUGUCUCAGACCUUAGGUAACAAACCUGGAUUCAUACCUAUCACUGCCAUUUAGAAUCCGAGUGACUUUAAGUAGUAAACUUAAGUCACAUCUCUGCAUCUCAGUCCUUGUCUCUAAAGUGAGGAUAACCACCUACUUUACUGGCCCCUUAGGAGGGGCAAUGUUCCUCCAGGGAGAAGAGAAUUCCUGAUCAGCCUGCAGACUGGAAAGAUCUCUCCCAUUUCCCUGCACUGGACAGUCAGCACACAGGGACAGGAGUUCUUAGGAACAAAUGGUUUCCCUGUGAGAGGCCCAAAGUGUCCAAAAACAAAGUGACCUCAUGGAAGAGAAACCUCAAACCUACAACAAUCUUGCCCCUUUAAGCCCCCAAAAUGCCCCUUGGAUGAGGAGUGAUCCCAUGAGUGUUGAAGGAAGCUUUGCCGUUACAGGACAAUCAAGGUACCAGGUUAUCAUCAAAUCCAAAUCCUGUCCUUUGUAAUUAUUAUUACACCAAUCAUUUUUUUUCCCCUUUGAGAACCAACACUUUUCCAAAAAUAUGAAUCAUUUGGCAGAAAAUCUCUCAAAAACAGUCUUCACCUCUCUACUUUUUCAAGCAAGGGACAAGACCACUUUUUCAUUUUAAUCCACUAUCUUUAGGAACAUGCAAUGUAGCAUGGAGGGAUGACUCAGAGCUGGGCCUCCUGUUUGGGUUUUUGUCCUCUUCGCUGAUAUGGAGCACUGGAUGUGACAGGCUUGAGACACAACACGUUCACCAACCUUGGAAAGCGGCAGACACUCAGGACUCACCAGUUUGGCAGAGUGACCACAUACUACUUAGGGACAUGUGUUCUUUGGUUGGUGCCCUCAGAGUGAGACCCUCCCUCAGCCAUGUAGCCUUAAGCAAAUUACUGUACUGAAUCUCAGUUUCUUCUUCUGUUCAACGGGGAUAAAAAUAGCAGCUACAUCAAUUGGGGGGGGGUCAUGAAUCUUAAAUAUGAACAUUUAGAUGCUUAGCAUGGCACAGGGUGGUGAGCAAGGGCUCAUGAGCGUUAACUGCUGUUAUUACGAUGACUCCCAGCAAGAAAGGUCCCCGGGAGACCGCCUGCCCUCCUGCAUCACUGGUUACACCCACGCUCUGUGUCUUUUCUUCCACCCAUUAAACAAAACUGAUAGAAGUAGCCUGAACCGCCGGUGACUAGAGCCCUCCCAGGGUUUUCCCCCAUAAUCUGGUGAAGCUCCCAAAUAAGCGGCUUCUGCCAAAAGAGAAUUUCCCAUCAUUCUGUGAAAGCCAAUCCAGUCAUUCCCGAGAGCCUCGUUUCUUAACACGGCCGAAUGCCCAGCUGGACCGCACAUGUGCACCUCUGCGAGCCGCAGCCGCAGCAGCAUCAGCGCCGGCAGACACACCAGCAGACACACCAGGAGCAGGCGCGGGCGCCGGGGACCUCUGUCAGACCAAGUUGUCAGGCCUUGGCUGGUGAUCCCUGGUGACAGAAGCCCGCAGAGCCUCUCAUUUGGCACCAUUUCAGGCACUAAAAAGAAAAGAGCUCGGAGCGCUGGCAGCCGCAUUGAUCUAAUGAGGAUUGGGGAGGCCGUGCUGCUCUCCACGUGGUUAUUUUCUAUCGUUUGUAUCCUGUAGGGGGUCACUCCGAAGUUAAAUGAAGACAACAACAGCAGCUGCAGCCUUUGUUGAGGUCCAGAUUGCGAGCACCGCUGAGCGGGCCCCAGCCCUGCACUUCAUUACGUGUAAGCACCAUUAAUAACCAACAAUGGGUUCUCGAAUCAGCGGACAAGUGUCCCCCCCCCCCGAGCUCGUGCCCCUGGUUAGGGCUUAAGUCUUUGUGCAUCUUCCUGGCUAACACAUGCGUCCCCAGGGACUCGCUGCCUCAAAAUGAUAUUCCCAACAUAAGUGCCAGACAGGGGCCUAUCUGCCAAUCUUUUCUAUUUUAUGUCCCCAGGACUGUUCUUUCUCCACCAAACCUCCACAGCAUAGCAGCAGUUGUAGCCCACCCUAUCCAGCAUUGCUUUCUUGUAAAGUUGGGGGAUGGGAGGGUGUGUGUGUGGAGUUUUUCUAAAACAAGUCAUAUUUUACAUGCAUUAGGUAACCUUGAAAUUGUAUUAGUUCUCUAUGGCUACAUUAAAAAUUACCCCCAAAGCAUAGUGGAUAACACAAUCAUAAAUAUUUCUUACCCUUACAAUAUCUGUGGGGUCGGGGGUUCAGGCUUUCCUUAGCUGGGUCCCUCGUGAGAUCAGAGUCAAAGUGUCAGCUAGAGUUGCUGUCGCUUGAAAGGCUCACCCACCUGGUGGGUGGGCUGGUGCUGUCCUGUGGGUGGGGGCCCCACUUUCUCUCCACAUGAGCCUCUCCGGCUAUGGGAAUGUCCUCUCAACAAGGCCACAAACUUCUCCCAGAGUGAGUGAGCAAUAAAGGGAGCCAGGUGAAAGUCAUCAUUUUUAUGACUCAGCCUCAGAAGUCACGCUCUCUUCAUUAGAAGAGUCAUUCAGUUGGGGAGGGAAUUAACGCCAUUUGUUUUUUUUUUUUUUUAAAUUGAGGUAUAGUUGAUUUACAAUAGGAGUUUCAGGUAUAGUGAUUCCCAAGUUUUAAAGGUUAUACUCCAUUUAUAGUUAUCAUAAAAUAUUGGCUAUAUUCCCAGUGUUGUACAAAAUCUCUCUCUCUCUCUCUCUUUUUUUUUUUUUUUGGUCUUUUUUGUCUUUUUAGGGCUGCACCUGGGGCAUAUGGAGGUUCCCAGGCUAGGGGGUCUAAUUGGAGCUACAGCUGCCGUCCUGUGCCACAGCAUAGCAACACCAGAUCCGAGCCACAUCUGCAACCUGCACCGUAGCUCACGGCAACACCAGAUCCCUAACCUUCUGAGCAAGGCCAAGGAUCGAAUCCGCAACCUCAUGGUUUUGAGUUGGAUUCAUUUCCACUGCACCAGGACGGGAACUCCCAAAAUAUCUUUGUAGCUUAUUUUACAUCUAAUCAUUUGUACCUCUUAAUCCCCUACCCCUAUAUUGCCCCUCCCCACUUCCUUCUCCCCACUGGUAACCACUAGUUUGUUCUCUACAUCUGUGAAUCUGUUUCUUAUUAUAUUCAUAGUUUACUUUCUUUUUUAGAUUCCAAAUACAAGUGAUAUCAUAUAAUAUUUGUCUUUAUCUGACUUAUUUCACUAAGCAUAAUGCCUCCAAGUCCAACUCUUUGUUACAAAUGGCAAAAUUUCAUUCUUUUUUAUGGCCGAGUAGUAUUCCAUUGUGUAUAUAUACCACACCUUCUUUAUUCAUUCAUCUGCUGAUGGACACUUAGGUUGCUUCCAUGUCUUGGCUGUUGUAAAUAGUGCUUCCAGAACACUGGGGUUCCUACAUCUUUUUUAAUUAAUGUUUUUGUUUUCCUUGAAUAUAUACUUACGAAUAGAAUUGCUGGAUCAUGUGGUAGUUCUAUUUUUACUUCUUUGAGGAACUUGUAUACUGUUUUCCACAGUGGCUGCACCAAUCUACAUCCCCACCAAUGGCAUAUUAGGGUUCCUUUUUUUCCACAUCCUCCCUAACAUUUGUUAUCUGUGUUCUCGUUGAUGACAGCCCUUCUAGCAGGUGAGAGGUGAUAUCUCCUUGUGACCUUGAUUUGCAUUUUUCUGAUGAUUUUGAUAUGGGGCAUCAUUUCCUGUGAAUGAAUUCCACUUUGGAAGGGAGCAGUAUCACAGAAUUAGUGAGUUUAUUUUAAAAUCACCAUAGACAUUUAGGGGGUGAAUCACUCAUUCCCUUAACAAAUAUUUAUUGAGAACCUACUAUAUGCACUCACUGUUCUAGAUGUUCAGGAUACAUCCUAGACAAAACAGACCAAAGUCCCUGCCUGCCCUUGUCAAGUUAAAUUCUCCUGGAGGGAGACAGAAAAUAAACAAUAAGCAGAAUAAAUACAUUUUAAAGUCUGCUGCAGUUUAAGUACCCUGUGGGGGGAAAGGCUGAGGGGAAGAGGGCUCUGGAAUCCUAGAGUAAGGUUACGUUUUAAAUAGGGCCAUCAGACUCGUCCUGUCCAAGCAGGUAGAGUGGGGCCGAUGAUGGUUUAGAGGGGUGAUGGGCCACCUUGGACAUGGCCUUGCAUGGAGCCCAGUCCCUGUGAACCCUGAUCAUUGUUACAAUGGUCCCUCAUGGGUGCAGAUAAGAAGAGUUUCCCUCAAUUCGGCCUCACCCCUAGACCACCUGGGAGGAAGUGUCCCCAUGGCCAUCCCCAGCUGCAAAUGACCUUCGUGACUGCUCAGACGGAGCUUCUGUGUCACACUGAGACUUGAGGCAGGCAGCCUGUGUGCACAACACAGCACAUCUGGCCAGGGGGAGGAGAGGACGGGACGGUGAGUCAUUCCGUCCUGAAGUGAUCACAGUUGGAGGAGCAGCACUUGUGCAAUGUCGAAUGUGUAAUUUUAGUGUUUCAAUUCAAUCAUGGUGUUUCCACAACUGGAGGCGAGCUCCAAACCACACCCAACAGGAGCUGCCCAGCCCAGGGCACGCCAGGACUUUGGAGGCUUUUGAAUCAUGAAGGAAGGGAGCUGGAAGGAGAAGAUAUUCCAGGCUUGAAUGUGGCCAAAAAGGGGUCAGCGACCCUUGCUGACAGGCUUCCUGGGCCUGGAGGAGCUAGGGGUGAAGCAGAGUAGGGCAGGUGCCAGGGGAUUCCAGAACUGGGGGCACCCAGUUCUAAUUCUGCCAUCCCGGAAAGCUAGAGGGGCCCCAGGGCAGGUGGAAAGGCAGCGGGUGUUGGCCCAGAGAUGUGUAAGCCUUAUUUGAGGGGCAGCUACUGACCUAGAUGGUGUGGUGACUGACACCACUGGGACACAGGCCGCCCCUCAGUUUCCCAUGCAGCAUCCCUGAUGGAGAGGGACCCCAUUCUGAGGAAAGAGAGUGUAGAGGUACACAGGGGGCAGUGGUUCAGGGUCUGUGCAAUGCCUGCACAUGGAGCAAGAGAUGUGCAGGCCUGACAAGGUCACUGGCCCAGCCCAGAGGACCUUGCCCAAAGAGGGCCGUGAGGAGAGGAGGAAUGAGAAAGCUUGAUCCCUGGGGCUGCUGUGGUCACCAGGUGCAGAAGAGCAGGCAGCAAACACCAGGAUGACUGAUGGGGACUUGAAGGAGCCCUGUGGGUACCAGAGCUGUCAUCUACGGCUGCAUCCGAAGCCCACUGAGGCCAGGAGUACGAGGCCCAGAAGCUGAGUUACAGAAAGCAGAACAUUUGUUCUCACUCAGAGGACAAUAUCUGAGGGGUUAAAAGGCAGAGGCUGGGUAGGGGUGGACAUGCAGGUUUGUAUCCUGGUGAUACCACUUACUAGCUGUGUCAGAGAUGUCUCGUACUUAACCUAUCCGCAGCCUCAGCUUCCUCACCUGUCAACCUCACACAACUGGUGAGACUUAAGUGAGAUCAAACACUUAACACAAUUCCUGGUUCAUAGAAAUAGUCCACAAAUAGCUGCUAUUUUUAUUGUGACUAUUUUUACAAAUGUCGUGGACAGCUGCUGCGGGGGCUUUGUUUGCUUUUGUUGCCUGGCAUCUCUUCCUUUGGAAUUGCCCCUCCCUAUCCCAGCCCCUUGGUUCUGCUGUCCAGCUAAUCCUAGCACUUGGACCCCUGCUGACAGGAGAUGGGCAAGUGAGACCACAUUGGGCCAAUCAGAUUCUCUCUCCCGGGGACUGGAACUCUCAGUGCGGUCAUGCAGGAAGGCAGUUAGCGCUGAGUCAUCCUGCGACAGGGAAUUUCCUGGAGCUGCUCUUGCCAUCAUCCCUCCCGGGUCUGGUAUGAAACUCACUCUUCCAGUGUCUGAACUUGGCCAGUAUCGCCCCGGUGAGCCCCUCACUGCAGCCAAGUAACCCUCCUGCCAAAACGGCCACUGGGCGAGACGUGUCUGGAGAAAUGGCCAUCUGAAUGGCAGUGUGGGGAGGAGGCUGGGAAAGAGAACAUGGCCUUCCCACCUCCCCCCUUCCCUCUUCACUUCAGGCCAUCAAGAGGGCUUCUCUACCCUUUCCUUUUCUUGCCUUUUUAAAUUUAUUUUUGUGUUAAGUUGAGAGUCAAAUAGUGAAUAGAGUUGGGAUGACUGAGUAGCCAUCUGGAAAAGGUGAGGUUGGAUCAAUACAUGAGGAUACAUUCAAAAUGGAUUGAAGAUUUAAAUGCAGAAAAUAAGAACUUACAGUCAUGAGGAGAAAACACAAAUGAAUUCCUUUAUAAUUUUUGAGUGGGGAGGGUCUUUCUAAUUAUGACUCAGAAUCCAGAAUCUAUCAGAGAAAAUAUUUAUAAAUAUGACUACAUAUCCAUCAGAAACUUAGCCUGAAAGAGUAGCAAAGACAAAUGACAAACUGGAAAAAAUAUUUGCAAUAUAAAGGAUUAAUUUCCCUAAAAUAUGAAGAACUUCUAGAAAUCAAGAAGAAAAAGAUUUAAAGAAAAUAGGAAUGUGGGUAAAGGACAUAAUCAGAGCAUUCAGAGAAAAGGAAAUAUAAAUGACUCAAAAAUUUAGAAGAUCCUUAAUCUCACUUUUAAUAAGAGCAGUCAUAUUGACAUCGGGCAGAUUGACAAAGACUUAAAAGUUUGACAGCACCUUGUUCUGAUGGGGCUGUAGCAAAAUACCCACUCUCACACAAUUCUUGUGGGAGAAUACGAUGAUACAACACAACCCUUAUGGGGAGCAAUUAGGUGUUAUCUAUCAAAAAUACAUUUGCCCUUUGACCUCUGGAAAUUGAUCCUCCAGCUAUAUCCGCACGCAAAUGAAAUAACAUAUGUACAAAGUUAUUCAUUCCUGCAGACUAUUAUAUUUGGAGUGGCGGAGCAAUGAGAUCUUGCUGUAUAGCACAGGAAACUAUGUCUAGUCACUAGUGAUGGAACAUGAUGGAGGAUAAUGUGAGAAAAAGAAUAUGUAUGACUGGCUCACUUUGCUGUGCAGUAGAGAUUGACUGAACACUGUAAAUGAACUAUAGUGCAAAAAAUAAAAAUCUUAUAUAAAAAAUCCCAAAGGUGUUCUUUCCAACAUUGUUGGUAUUAACAGAAUACUGGGAAUACCUUUAGUGACUAGUUUGGUUUAUUUUAAGCCAAAAUUUGUUGUUGUUGUUUUUUUAAAUCCAUCUGCUAUCUACUCUAUUUCCAUUUCCCAGUUCUGAAUUACCAGAGGCUUUAAAUUUUUUAGUUGAUUUUUCAGGAAUUUAUUAAUUUACUUCUUUUUAAUACUUAUUUCUUGAUUUUCAGUUUAAGCAUUAUCUGCUGACUUCCUACUGAUGAAGAGAGGUAGUUAGCUUUACUAUGUAUCUCCCACUCAUAAUGCACACACAGGGAGCUAUUCACUAUCCUCCUUCAUUUUUCCAAAGGUUACAUUGUGAUUUUUGUUAAACUAAUAUUCAGUAUUUUGAGUAUUAUUACUGUGCAAAUAUUGCUUAUAGUUGAGACAUAGGUAUGGGAUGAUUAAAAUUCCUUUCUUGAACAUUUAAAAUUUCUUUUCUGGAGUUAAUAAUUGCCUUGUUUUUCCUGGACCAUUUCAUUUUCAUUUGACCCUUUUGGGUAUAUUUAUCAAUAAUUCAUUCCCUAAAUGUCAUGUAUGUCAUACAUUUGAGAUCCUCCAUCGGUUCUACUUUUUCCUAGAGAUACUGCUAUGGCAGCCCUUCGUGUUCUUGCUCUACUCUGCACUGAUUUUCUUCUGGGCCUGUGGCAUAGCUGUCUUCUUAAAACCUGUCUUUAUUGUCACCGAGAAUUUCCUUUGCUCACUCUCUUUCAUGUGUUGGAUCCAUUGUGGCCUGGAUCUCAAGUCUCCCAGAUAGCUUACUCAUUUUAGUAAAGUACAUCCUCACAGAUUCUUAAGAAAAAGUGCAUAGAAAAAAAACUGAGGCCCUUCAUGUCUGGAAAACACCUUUGUCAUACACUCACAUUUGGUGUUAAUUUGGCUAUACAAUUGGCUCUCCAUAUCCAUGGAUCCUGCAUCCUCAGAUUCAACCCACUCUGGAUGGAAAAUAUU